UACAGGGGGUGCAAGCGUUGUUCGGAAUUACUGGGCGUAAAGCGCGGGCAGGUGGCCUUUUAAGUCCUUUGUGAAAUCCCGGAGCUCAACUCCGGAUGUGCAUAGGAUACUGGAAGGCUUGGGACUGGUAGAGGCGAGCGGAAUUCCUGGUGUAGCGGUGGAAUGCGUAGAUAUCAGGAAGAACACCGGUGGCGAAGGCAGCUCGCUGGGCCAGAUCCGACACUCAUCCGCGAAAGCGUGGGGAGCAAACAGG
RNAcentral lists this ribosomal RNA (253 nucleotides) under uncultured bacterium. RNAcentral's name for it is "partial 16S ribosomal RNA". It matches the Rfam family "Bacterial small subunit ribosomal RNA", at positions 524 to 776 of the family's 1533-position model. The record is from RNAcentral.